ACGAUUUAGAAGCUUGCUUUAUUGAGUCGAGUGGCAAACGGGUGAGUAACGCGUAGACAACCUGCCGCAAAGAUGGGGACAACAGUCCGAAAGGACUGCUAAUACCGAAUGUUGUAUCUCCUCCGCAUGGAAGAGAUAUUAAAGAUGGCCUCUACUUGUAAGCUAUCGCUUUGCGAUGGGUCUGCGUCUGAUUAGCUAGUUGGUGGGGCAACGGCCUACCAAGGCGACGAUCAGUAGCCGGUCUGAGAGGAUGAACGGCCACAUUGGAACUGAGACACGGUCCAGACUCCUACGGGAGGCAGCAGUGGGGAAUCUUCCGCAAUGGGCGAAAGCCUGACGGAGCAACGCCGCGUGAGUGAUGACGGCCUUCGGGUUGUAAAGCUCUGUGAUCGGGGACGAACGGUCAGCAGACGAAUACUCUGCUGAAGUGACGGUACCCGAAUAGCAAGCCACGGCUAACUACGUG
RNAcentral lists this ribosomal RNA (466 nucleotides) under uncultured bacterium. RNAcentral's name for it is "bacterial SSU rRNA". It matches the Rfam family "Bacterial small subunit ribosomal RNA", at positions 66 to 507 of the family's 1533-position model. The record is from RNAcentral.